GAGAGGGGACAAUGGAAAGCCUGUGUAAGCGGAUGUUAUCCAAACAAAAGGAAGAAACUUCCCAGCCCUCAAGGACACCCAUUGUCGGGUGGUAACGGGACUCAGACCAUCACAGCAGCCGGAGACCCAGUCUGAAAGUGUGGAAUGUACAGGCUCCUGUUCCUGCUGGCGUCUGGGUGAUGCCUUUCAACCAAGGUAGAAAUUAAGUGACAUCUAAGUGAAGAUGUGGUUCAUGUUGCGCUGGGUCUGGAGAGAGGACUGGGGGGCAGGUGAAGGAGCAGAGAAGGUAUGGAAGCGAGUGAACUCGGCACCCUGCUCUUUCCGGGAAGACAUGGGGCUGUUUGCAGGACUCAGAGAACUUCCUCCACAGUGCGGUCAGCGUGCUUAUGAACCAAGCAGAGAAGCACUGGUAACCAUUUACUGGGAGAAGCUCAGCCAAGGGAAGAGUGGUGCCCUGAAGCCACUCUGGCCUCCCCCUGGGGAUGUGGACACCCAGGGGCAGGAGGAUGAAAGAGGAUGGACACGAAGAUCUGGAUGGUUCAAGAGCCAGCAGAAGGGAGCCCAGCACCACAGUGUCCCCCACCCCCCCCACCAGACCCUUUGCCUGAUGCUGGGGGCCAGCGGUAGGCGGGCUCCUCUCUGGGCUCGCCCACCAUUUCCUGGGACCUCUUUGCUUUCCUGAGACAAGUGCAGGCUCAUCUUGUUUGGGCUGCAGGGCUCCGGAUCCUGGGGGUCUCACCGUCUGCAGUGCUGGACACACCCAGGCAGGAGUUCGGAUCCACCAGCUGCCCACGGAACAGUGGGGUUUCAGGCCUCCAGGGGAGCCUGUCCCAGAGGACAAGGUGCAUUUUGGUUUCUGAAGAGCCACCCAAGUGUGAGAUUCUCUGUCAUUUUAUUUGCCAAUUUGCUGAGCUUUCAAGAUGACAUAUUCCCCGGCGAC
Molecule: non-coding RNA, 940 nt
Organism: Odocoileus virginianus texanus
Lineage: Eukaryota; Metazoa; Chordata; Mammalia; Artiodactyla; Cervidae
Source: RefSeq, a predicted model, not a curated record